CAAGAAAUAGUAAGUCUGCUUCUGAGAAAAGAAGCUUCAGGCGAGAGAGACGACCGACAAUGGCGACCGCUUCCGCUUCCGCUUCAGGUCGAAGCAACAGAGACGGUACGGCCAAAGCCAUGGUGGCCGACCACAUUUCUCAGUCAGUGCGAUCCACUUCAAAUCUCCUUCAUCUGAUGCAGCAAUCUUCUUCGGCUCAGUUCAGUUUGUCAUAUAGUUCAUCUUGCCUGCAGGCUCAGUUAGCAAAAUUGCCAAAGAACCUUUUGGCAAAAGCAUCUACUAUAAAAAAUACUGAGAAAAUCUUAGAGCAGAUGCCGCAAGUGGUUUCAUCAUUAGAUGCACAUGUUGAGAAGGGACUAGAAAGCAUUCCUCAUUUGCAGACUGUUGUGCAAUUACUUACAAACAUGGAAGGCACCCAACUAAAAUCUCUCUCCCAAAUCCAACACCCUAAAGAGGAAAUCGAGUCUCUUCAUCAACUGAAAGAUGUGGACUAACAGUUCUGCCCUUCUAGAACGUGUCACCUACAGUGUAAAUAUAGGAUCAUAAGGGUGGGCGAAUUUUCCAUCUUCAAAGAACACCACCUGAUCCUCUAUCAAAAAAAAUGUCCAAUCCCUUUUAUGGGCUGUGAGGAAUGAUGAGAAUUUGCCGAACAAGCUGUCUGAAUUUGGUGGAGAGACCAAACGAUUCAAAAUAUGAUGAUUGGGUUUUGGGAUGAGGAGUUGGAUUGUGUAGAGAUCCCACUGUGUCAUCCUAGUGAAUACAUAGUGCUACUAUAAACAACUUUCGGAUGCUCGACCAUGCGAACGGACUCUCUAAGCGGGACACUUAACGCGUUAGUGACCAUUUUCAGGCAUUGCUUUCCUCUCAUUCUCAAUGUAGAAUCAACGAAACUUGUGAAACCCAACUAUUCAAUCGUGAGCGAUUUUAAGAGUUCCUUGUUUGAUUUGACUGUU
This is an RNA transcript of Cucurbita maxima (winter squash), 953 nucleotides long. It is a transcript of the gene named tobamovirus multiplication protein 2B, with no coding region annotated. Lineage: Eukaryota; Viridiplantae; Streptophyta; Magnoliopsida; Cucurbitales; Cucurbitaceae. The transcript has 6 exons. The record is from RefSeq and is a predicted model, not a curated record.